UGGUUAAAAAGCUCGUAGUUGGAUCUCAACAGCCUUGAAGCGGUUAACUUUGUAGUUUUACUGCUUUAUAGGCUGUGCUUUUGCUGGAGGUUUAGGGGUGCUCUCGAUCGAGUGUCUCUGGAUGCCAGCAGGUUUACUUUGAAAGAAUUAGAGUGCUCAAAGCAGGCUAAAAUGCCUGAAUAUUCGUGCAUGGAAUAAUAGAAUAGGAUGUCGAUCCUAUUUUGUUGGUUUUCGGGACUCGACAUAAUGAUAAAUAGGGACAGUCGGGGGCAUUUGUAUUCAAACGACAGAGGUGAAAUUCUUGGACCGUUUGAAGACAAACUACUGCGAAAGCAUUUGCCAAGAAUGUUUUCAUUAAUCAAGAACGAAAGUUAGAGGUUCGAAGGCGAUUAGAUACCGCCCUAGUUCUAACCAUAAACGAUGCCAGCUAGCGAUCUGCCUGCGUUUUUACUGUAGACUGGGCAGGAAGCUUCCGGGAAACCAAAGCAUUUGGGUUCCAGGGGAAGUAUGGUUGCAAAGCUGAAACUUAAAGGAAUUGACGGAAGGGCACCACCAG
RNAcentral lists this ribosomal RNA (556 nucleotides) under uncultured marine eukaryote. RNAcentral describes it as "SSU rRNA". It matches the Rfam family "Eukaryotic small subunit ribosomal RNA", at positions 616 to 1173 of the family's 1831-position model. The record is from RNAcentral.